CGGCCCAUAGCCCAAGGGGAGAGGCACGCGCCUUAAAAGCGCUGGUCAGUGCGGGUUCAAGUCCCGCUGGGCCGACCA
Molecule: transfer RNA, 78 nt
Filed under: Streptomyces composti
Lineage: Bacteria; Bacillati; Actinomycetota; Actinomycetes; Kitasatosporales; Streptomycetaceae
Description: tRNA-Leu
Rfam family: tRNA
About the family: Transfer RNA (tRNA) molecules are approximately 80 nucleotides in length.
Source: RNAcentral